UGUGUGUGUGUGUGUGUGUGUGUGUGUGGGCAAAAUAUCAGAAUUGGGAGCAGCCAAUGAUCCCCUGAAUAUCUCUCACCUUGAAUGUUCCAUCAGCGUUCCUCCCUUUGGGGGUGACAGACAUGGAGCCUCCAUAGAAGUGUCCCGCUGAAGCCAGGGAGACCAGUAGCAGCAGAUGCAGCAACACCGGUGUGGAGGAGGACAUGAUGCCUGGAUCUCUCUGGAGGAUUCCUCUCUACCUAUCUGCCUCCAGCAUCCAACCUUCAAACCUUUAUACCUUCUCAGACCAACCAUCCAUUCAGGAGGAAUGUCAGAGCAGAUGCCAAAAUUGUUUCCUUUGUAACUCACCCUGGACAUGUUCUCUUUCUGACAGGUGUAACUGGUUUUAAUGAACUGGGAAACAAAGAUUAAAAUACCUUUUCAUAAUAACCUGAAACGAAAGGGGAAAUAAAGUUGUGAGUUACAGUAAUUCUGUAUAUCUUGAACUUGUCUCUGCUAAUCUUGCCUUUGAAAUUAUGAUGAAUUGGUCCUGCUACAGAUUACUUUGUAAAUACAUCCUUCAUUCCCUUGGGUAGGCUGGAUAGGUGAAAACAGCCAUCCACUACCCUUUCACCAAUCCAAUCCAUAUUCACCCAUGGUAUUGCUUCUUGAGGUGUUCUAAUUGUCUUUCCACGCCUGUUACCAUGGUGAGGAUUACACAAACACAAAAAGGAUGCUUUUCACGGUAAUUCAUGACAAUCACCUUUAAAUCAACGUGUGAGUCAAAACUAUGUUUUUAUACUUCUGCUCUGUCCCUAUCAGAUGUUUUUCUGUUUGACAUCGUUGAACUGGCAUGGGUGGGUUGGAAUCCAUCUGACUGACAGCAUGAAGAUGUUCAACAAGAUUAGGCCAUGAGGACAGGUGAUUUAUUAUCUCAUCUCUCUUGUCAAACAUCAGGUGAGGUGAAAAAAAUGCUUCUUGAAUUAAAUAACAUGUUGGGAACACAAAAGGUCAAAGAUCAUUUUUUCACACCACAUUGUUUUCAGUAAAUGUCUCAUGCUUCAGGAAUGUUCCACAGGACUCAAGGAUGUUGCUGACAAGUCAUUGAACUUGUUUGAGAUGAAACCUAUAGCAUAUUAUCAAAUGGCUUCCAGGGAGAUGCUUAAUGUGAGUUGGACAAUAGCACCUCAAAAUAAAUCCCUACAUAACCACUUGACCUUACAAUACUAAUACUAAAUACUUACAAUAGCAAAGGUUGAUCUGCACGAUAGAGACACCAACUCAACCAGACAGUAUGUGUUUUAUAGAUAUUGAAGUGAACUAAUUAAUUCAUACUACUGAUUGUAAAUGGAGGUAAAUACACCUGUCUCCUUCUAUCUGAGUGAAUUCAGUAGCUUUUCACACUCA
Molecule: long non-coding RNA, 1386 nt
Organism: Oncorhynchus tshawytscha (Chinook salmon)
Lineage: Eukaryota; Metazoa; Chordata; Actinopteri; Salmoniformes; Salmonidae
Source: Ensembl